CGCCAACCAGCUAGCCCAUCCUAACAAAAACAACAACUCAAUAUUAAUAACCCCAAAUACACUACCCCUACCCUUAAACAAAACAUUCUUCCUCCUUAGUACGGGCGACGGAAAAGGAAUCACCGGAGCAAUAGAGAAAGUACCGCAAGGGAAUGCUGAAAGAGAAAUGAAAUAACCCAGUAAAGCCUAAAAAAGCAGAGAUUCUACCUCGUACCUUUUGCAUCAUGAUUUAGCUAGAAUCAUCCAAGCAAAGAGCACUUUAGUUUGGAUCCCCGAAACUACGUGAGCUACUCCAAGACAGCCUAUUUAUAGGGCAAACCCGUCUCUGUGGCAAAAGAGUGGGAAGAGCUUCGAGUAGGGGUGACAGACCUAUCGAACCUAGUUAUAGCUGGUUGCCUGAGAAAUGAAUAGGAGUUCAGCCUCCUAGCUUCUCCCUUCACCACGAUUUCACCUAUCGAUAUUAAAGAAGCUAAGAGAGUUAGUCAAAGGGGGUACAGCCCCUUUGAAACAAGAUACAACUUUCCCAGGAGGGUAAAGAUCAUAAUUACUAAAGGUAAAAAUGCCCCGGUGGGCCUAAAAGCAGCCACCCCUAUAGAAAGCGUUAAAGCUCAAGCAUUGACCCCCACCCAUAUAUUCAGAUAAUAUAAUCCUAACCCCCUAAAUAUUAACAGGCUACCUCAUGCAAACAUGAGAGUAUUAAUGCUAAUAUGAGUAAUAAGAGGGACUCGCCUCUCUCCUUGCACACGUGUAUGUCGGAACGAACCCCCACCGAAAUUUAACGGCCCCAAACAAAGAGGGUAAUGAAUAUGAAAAUAAAAAACCAGAAAACCAUCCAAUAAUUUACCGUUAACCCCAUCACUGGUGUGUCCCCAGGGAAAGACAGUAAGGAGAGAGAAGGAACUCGGCGAAAUACGAUGUGAGCCUCACAUGUUUACCAAAAUCAUCGCCUCAUGAUAAAGCUAACAUAUAAGAGGUCCCGCGUGUCCUGUGACGAUAAGUUCAACGGCCGCGGUAUCCUGACCGUGCGAAGGUAGCGCAAUCACUUGUCUUUUAAAUGGAGACUUGUAUGAAUGGCAUAACGAGGGAUCGACUGUCUCCUCUCCUCAGUCAAUGAAAUUGAUCCUCCCGUGCAGAAGCGGGAAUACACACAUAAGACGAGAAGACCAUAAGGAGCUAUGGACACUAAAGCAGAUCAUGUCAAAACCCCAUCAACAAGGAACAAAACUAAUUGAGCUCUGCCCUAAUGUCUUCGGUUGGGGCGACCGCGAGGCACAAAAAACCCCCGCGUGGAUCAAGGACACCUACUUUGUCCUCCAGCCUCCUUUCAGCCCAGAGAGUCCGCUCUCACAAACAGAAAUUCUGACCUACAAGAUCUGGCAAAGCCGAUCAACGGACCAAGUUACCCUAGGGAUAACAGCGCAAUCCCCUUUUAGAGACCAUAUCGACAAGGGGGGUUACGACCUCGAUGUUGGAUCAGGACAUCCUAAUGGUGCAGCCGCUAUUAAGGGUUCGUUUGUUCAACGAUUAAAGUCAUACGUGAUAUGAGUUCAGACCGGAGCAAUCCAGGUCAGUUUCUAUUUAUGAAAUGAUCUUUUCUAGUACGAAAGGACCGAAAAGAAGAGGCCUAUGCUUAAGGUACGCCUUACCCCUCCUAAUGAAAACAACUAAAUUAGGCAAAAGGGAAUACCUUUCCCAGCCAAAAAUAAUGGCGU
Molecule: ribosomal RNA, 1712 nt
Filed under: Pampus argenteus (silver pomfret)
Lineage: Eukaryota; Metazoa; Chordata; Actinopteri; Scombriformes; Stromateidae
Description: l6S ribosomal RNA
Rfam family: Bacterial large subunit ribosomal RNA (bases 99-1632)
Source: RNAcentral